Molecule: transfer RNA, 73 nt
Filed under: Stegodyphus mimosarum
Lineage: Eukaryota; Metazoa; Arthropoda; Arachnida; Araneae; Eresidae
Description: tRNA-Thr for anticodon CGU
Rfam family: tRNA
About the family: Transfer RNA (tRNA) molecules are approximately 80 nucleotides in length.
Source: Rfam by way of RNAcentral
GCCUUCGUGGUGUAGUGGUCAGCACGCUCGGCGCGUAUUCGAGAGGUCCGUGGUUCGAUUCCUGGCGAAGGCG